Molecule: long non-coding RNA, 6769 nt
Organism: Chelonia mydas (Green sea turtle)
Lineage: Eukaryota; Metazoa; Chordata; Testudines; Cheloniidae
Exons: 4
Source: RefSeq, a predicted model, not a curated record
UACUGGCAAGGAGAGGAGGAAAGGUGAGCACAGCACGCCCGUGUGUUUGGGAGCAAAGCGAUCUGUUACAACACCUGCCACGAAUACUCCUCCUCUGUGCUUAGCAACCAGAGUCCCUGGGGACAGUGUCUCCAAACAAAGCAGGAGGCAGAUGGGGCAGGUUUCCAUUGGGAACGUACGGGCAUUUGAACACACCAGGAAGUGUGGACUGAAUGGACUGAAGAGUUGCCUGGUCCAACCGGAGCUGCUGGAAAAGCCCCCAAUGCAAUGCUGGCAAAAGUAAUGGAGCGAAGGACAAGAUAAGACAUCACUUGCUGUCAUCUGUGGCUUUAUUAAGAAUUAUGCCAACUGUCUUCCCAGAAAAGAAACCCUCCUGAACUUGCAGUCAUGGCAGCUGAUCACCCGUUUAGAAAGCAAAGCCAUUUUUGAUAUCUACAGAUCAUUAGCAUAGUUGUUUUGCAUAGUGUUGCUAACUCAGGAUUUCAUCAUGCUAUUCAAUGUUCUGGAGUCACGUUAGUUUGUGACAAUUUUAGCUUUCAAAAAGCAAGGCUUCAUGGUUAUGGCAAAAAGCUUGGAAAAUGUGACACCCUAAAGCAAUGUUUCCCGAACGGUGGGCCCUGACCUACCAAGUUACAGGAAGGUUCUAGAUGGGUUGCCAUAGGCAAACAUACAUUUGUCCCAGCCUGGUAAAGUGCAGGGGGUUAGAGAGCACAUCCACCCUGUAUUCACCCUACAGAGCGGUUUGUCCAGGCUCCUGGCUCUGGGCAUCAUGACCUGGUACACAAGGUUGCAGUGUCACUCAGGCCAAACCUAGUGGUACUGUGAUCCCAUGCACCAGAUCAUAAUGCCCAGGACGGAAGGCUGGACCCAGCCUUGUGGGAAAGGAGCCACUGCUGUGGGGUAAACUCACUUUCCAACCCCACCGGAGGCAGGGUGUGUGUGUCAUGUGGAGUCAUGUGCCCACUCAGAUUUGCUGCUUGGCUUGUACUGAGCAUACUCACUCACAGAGCAAUAACACCACUGAAACCGGCUGCCCUCACUCUGCCCCCCCCACUAUUGGCAGGCCUGGGUCAUCUCUGAACCCCACCAUAACCCCGGCAUCCCCUCCACACCAGGCCGGAGUUAAAAUUCCAGUGCCAGAGCAGAAGGUGCAUAUAUGUAAUAGGGUGUUGCAAAAAAUGACAAAAUGCAGUUGGUGGGUUGCCUUAGUACUGUUUGGGAGCCAGUGCCCUAAGAGAGACUACCAUGUAUUUUAAAAAGCCUCAGGAGUUUGGAGAGCCUGACUCAUGAUCUUUGAAUGCUUGGUAUAGGCAGCAGAGUGUGGAAGAGCACAGAGGCCCCAGUCUAGAUCAGCACCCCAUUGUCCUAGGUGCUGCACAAUCACACAGGAAGACAAUCACUACUCAAAAAGUCAAAUGCGCAGAAGUCCAAUGCCUGGGUAUGGCAAGAAACAGGCACACCGAAUGCAGACUGCAAGCAGCACGUGACUGACAACCAAGGCAGAUGUACAAGAAGGACCAUGAACAAGACAGACACCAUUUUAAACUCGCUCCCCAGAUCUGAAGGCAGCCUGUUGGAAUGAAAGGGAGAGAGCUAUUACAGGUUGGGGAUGGGGUCAACAAGCCAUUAAAUCCAUAAUUUUGUACGGAUCAUGAACAAAAACAGAGAUUCAAUUUACUUUGCAAUUCCCUUUCAUUAAGCAGCGUUUAAUCACAUGUGAAGAAGAUACCCAGGACCCCACAUAGAAGCCUCAUCAGCUAAUGAGGAGACUUGCUAUUCACAGAUCCCUUUUGCUUUGGAGGCCUAUAAGGCAGCACCCAUACAAACUGAUGUAGUAGCAAUAGCGUCACAUAUCCACCACUGGAAUGGAAUUUAAUUAACUCUUAGCUUCCAGUCCCAACCCCAGAAAUCUGCACCACCACCAGUUUGCGUGGAUCUCUCUCUGCUCUGCUUGGUGGUUAGCUAUUUUUCAGAUAUAGGGGAAAGUGAAGCAGCAACUGUGAAUGCUUAUGGAAGCGCCCCAGAGACACCCUGCUUGGUUCUUUAGUAUUAUUUAUUGGUACUGUGGUUGUGUCCAGGCAGCCCAGUCAUGGACCAGGACCCCGCUGUGCUAGGCACUGUACAAACAAAACAAAGACAUUCCCUGACCUAAAGAGCUUACAGCUCCUCUGUAAAUAAGAAAUAUCUUUAUUGUACUAUCAGAUGUAGUCAGGUUUGGUUUGUGGUUGCAGUUAAAGCAAUAUGACAACAGACAAAGAUCUAAAAAGAUCCAAUGGCUGGAAGAAGCAUCUAGACAAGUUCAAGCUAGAAACAAGGUGCAAAUUUUUAACAUUAAACUUCCCGACCAACUUCCCAAGGGCUGUGGUGGAUUCUCCGUCAUUGGCAAUUUUUAAAUCAAGACUGGAUGUUUUUCUGAAAGAUCUGCUCUAGUUCAAAGAGGAAAUAAUUCAGUGAAGUUCUAUGGCCUGUUUUACACAGGAGGUCAGACUAGAUGAUCACAAUGUCUCUUCUUUAUUUAUAAACUAGGACUAUAUGACAUACGCAGAGACAGUGAAUUUAGUUCUAGUCUAGCCUGUGUAGGUGAAGCUGAACUAAUCAGCUUUGUACAUCUUUAAUUUCUCUGAAAAUCCAUUUUGUAGACUUAAAAAAAUUCUGUAAGAACUACACCUUAGAGGUACAUGUAAUAACAGCCUUAUAUUUAUAUUGCUCCAGAUACAAAGUCUUCAUGAAACAGGAAUCUGUUCAACUCUGAAAAGCAGCCAGUUCUAGGGUGGAACAUGGCAGCUGUUUAACAGCUCAGAGCAACACUACGCAACAGUUUUUAGGCCAGGGAUAUCACGCACAAUUCAACUGCAGGAUAAAUCAGGGCAAGUAGAACAUAAUUCCCUGAAUUUGUCCAGGACAGCACAGCUAAUGCUGUAAUGCUCUAGUAUCAUGCCAGCCUCCCAACUUCCCAGUAAAGUUUUACUCAAGUGUUAGCUACCUAGAGGGCUGGCAGUUUCAUGGUUUCUCUAGCACAGUGGGGGGGGGGGGGGCGGGGGAGGGGAAUUCCCACCCCCUAAAGCCAGGGGAAUCAUGUUGGAAGUCUGUUUGCAAUGUGAGCAUUUAAAUACAUAGCUACAGUUGGCACCCCGGGGUGGGUAAGACACCUGCAGCCUUUGCAAGUGUUUAAAAGACGAGCCUUUGCUUUUUUAUAACAGAGGCAGCUUGAAUGAACCAUCUCUCCACCUGCCAGCCAAUCUGCCUUGCCUGCAACCAACUUCUCAGUGCUGGGAGGAGUCAGAGGAAGUGCUGCUCGCCUUGAUAACAGGAAGUCUGCCCUCUACCAAGGCCCAUAGAAGAAAGACUGUAUGAAUUCUUUGUCAAUUUCCUAUUUACCGUUCACAGCAACCUCUCCUCCCUACCUAUAGCUUUCAUGGGGAAAACCUGCAAAGCCAAAGAACUCUCCAAGGAAAAAAAGCUUUCCUAGGCAUCAUGAAUUAACUGAUAACUUGAUCAAAACCCCUUUCACCUAAAGUAGCAGCAUUGCAGAAGAGAAUUCAGGAGUAUAAGGUUUUAUACUGAAUAGACUGGAGUGGGAGGGGUGUGACGGACACACUUGGCCUUUGUCUAAGGUUAAAGCAGGCAUCAGAUUCAGGGUAACCCUGACAAGCGUUUAACAAAGGGGGAAACGUUAUUUUUUAAGACUGCUGAAGGAAGCUUUUAUAUAAAAGGAAAAUUACAGUCCAAUUAUCUUGUAAAACUUCAAACUGUUAGAGGGCGGUCGCAGGAAUGAGCUCUUCAACAGAAGCAAUUUUAAUAGCUGCAUUAACUCUAGCAGCCAGAGGAAAGAGCUCGCAAGAGAGUAUUUGCUAGAAGCAAGAUUCACAUCCUAAGGACCUUACGGUGCACCGAGGCUCUUUAUUUGGAAUAAUUCUCCGCCCCCAAACAUCUAAAGCUGCUUUCUCUAGCAGACACCUGUCCUCACCGGCUAUAAGGUUCUUUUACAUUUCCAACUACUCUCAGUAAAACACACUGGAUUUUUGCAGAAUGAAAAUACAUUGAGAAAUGGAAAGGGGAUGCCUAACGUGUGUGUGUGUGUGUGUCUGUGUGAGAGAGAGAGAGAGUGAGUGUGUGUGUGAGAGAGAGAGAGAUUAUAUAACUGAUUUACUACUCCCCUUGUAGCUACGAAAUGUAUAUCAGUACUCUCCAGUUCAGCUCAAAGACUCAUCACUGGGAUUCUGAGUUGACAAAUGUUCCCAAUCUAUUAUUUUUCAAAGCAUGCAUCCUUUCACAUGUCAGUGUCAGAAAUACGGAAUGGAGCCAGUGAUCAAUACUGGGCUGGGAGAAAUCCUUCUCAGGCUGCAGAAUUAUUUCCCAAUCACUGGAAGUGGGACCAGGAGCUGGGCCUGCUCAUUCACCUUGCUCAAAGACAGACUUCACUCUUUGUAUUUGGGGUACUUUGUGCAGAUCAACCAAUGCAGUGGUUUCCAACCUGUGGUCCGUGGACCAUUGGGGGUCUGCAGACUAUGUCUAAGAUUUCCAAAGGGGUCUGCACCUCCAUUCGAAUUUUUUUAGGGGGUCUCCAAAUGAAAAAGAGGUUGAAAGCCACUGACUAAUGUUUCCCUUCCAAACCAGGAAAGGAGAAUACAGUCAGAAAUCCCCUGGCUGGCUUGACAAGACUGAUAGCCCAGCACUGUGCAGCCGGGCAAUUGUUCACAUGGGACUUUUUGUAGCAAGAACCAUAAGGCACCUGAUCAAUAACCACUGUGAAGCGAAGGCAUCAUUCACAGAACAGACACAGCAAAGGUAGCAGCUGCCACACAUCACCUACCCCCACCACUAGUCUACAGGAAGCAGAUGGGAGUUCAGCCUUUGGCUCCUCUAACUAACCUGCGCCAAUUAGCACCAAAUAUGUCUGCAUUCCAAAGCUGCCAUUCUCCCUGUUCAGAACCCCACCAGCUCAUUCUACUCUACCCACUGAACAGGGUAUAGGCCUGCUUGCACGUUUUCCACUGGCAGGAUCCUCUCUGUUAGGGCUGUGAUUAUUUACCCAUCUAUGUACAGCAGUACUGCCCCUAGUGCGGAUGCAGUGACAUCGGGAUCAAAGUGCCUUAUACCCGCAGUUUAUUCCCCUUCCCAGGAAAACACACACCCCUGAGCGACAUAAGUUUCGCUAGCAUCAGUGGUAGUGUGCACAGUGCUAUGUCAGCAGGAGAGCUUCUCCCGCCAGCACAGCUUCUGCUGCUCAUUGAGGUGGUUUUAUUAUGUUGACGGGAGCGCCCUCUCCCAGCGGUAUAGAGCGGCUACACAGCAAUCUCACAGCAGUGCAGCUGUGUUGGUCUAGCUGUGCCGCGGUAAGAUCACUAGUGUAGACAUGGCUUAGUGUUUGAUAGUUAGCUGUUGCCAUAAAACCAAAAAAGGAAGCUCAGGACUAAAGAUACUGGAUUUUGGGCAGGCCCUACACAAAUAAGUGAUAUAGUUUUGUUUGUUUACAUUUCCUCAGCAACAGGAAUGGUAUAUUUACACCCCCAGCCACCCUCACCUAUUUAGCUUAACAAAAAGAGGAAGUUAAAAGGUGACCAGAUUCCAUUCAUAAAUAUUUAAGGAGGAGAAGAUUUCUGGUAGCAGAGGGCUCUCAAAAAGAGACCCAAUGGGAGCAAGCUAGACAAAGUCAGGCUAGAAAUAAGGUACAAAUUUCUCACAGGAAAGGUGAUUCCCACUGGAACAAACUCCCAAGGAAAGGGGUGGAUUUACAACCGCUUAUUCUCUUCAAAUCCAGCCUGGCUUCCUUUCUGGAAGAUCUGAUUUAGUCAGACGAGUGAAUGGGCUCAAGGUAACUGAGUGUAAUUCUCUGGUCUGUGCUAUAUUGGAGUCAGACUAGAUGAUCUAAUGGCCCCUUCUGGCCUUGAACUUCCUGAAUCCAUAAAGAAAGGAUUUUGCGCUCCAGUGUGUUCAGACAGGCCAGAAGCCCAGUAGCUGUUUGCCUCACUGCAGCAAUUCCAGAGCCAGAGCAUGAAAAAGGAACAAGAAGUCAGACAAAAAAAGGCAGCUUCAUGCUGCAGCUAUGCAGGCCACAGUUCAGGAAGGAAACACAGCUCAGCCUUCCCACCAAGUCCAUCUAGAUCUCAAACCCUUCCAACGGCUCGGUGUGCACGCUGCAAACAUGGAUGUAGGCUGCCUCCACCUAGCACACCAAGCACUGCAGGAUUUGGGAGACAGCAAGAUUACAGAGAGCAACAAUCUGCAAGCCUCCAUUAGCCUCCCUGAUAUAACUCAUGGAACAGGUAGGGGGGUUCAUUGUAGGGAAAUCUCAUUAACUUGCCAUCAGGAAAGUAACGGGCUAGUUUGUCAGGGCUGUCAUAGUGGCAAGCUCCAUCCUUAAUGAACGUGCAGCUUGCCACACCUUGAGAGAUUCAGCGCCAUCAGUUGUCAUGGUAGAUAACAGAGAUUUUCCCGAAGACAGACUACCAGUGGCCCGGGAGGAUCAGGACAUUGGAAUGACACUAGUACAGCACGUAGGGCACUGGCUGCUGUAAUGACCUAUCAAAGGAAACCUGCUCAACACUUUCAAAAGACAAGCCUGGGAGCUUAAAUUCAUAACUCAUUCAUAAUUCUGAUAGACACUAAAAAUCAGGUCUGAAAAGAGACCCUGGAUUUAUGGCUGAUUACAACAAUCUGUAACCCACUAACCCCCCUUUUUAUCCUAUGACUACACGGGUGUUAAUGGGCCACUUCACCUUGAAUGGUCCCUUAGAAUAUGUGUUUCAGAGUAGCAGCCGUGUUACUC